Cimex lectularius (bed bug) is the source of this 1046-nucleotide long non-coding RNA. RefSeq lists it as uncharacterized. The transcript is spliced from 3 exons. Lineage: Eukaryota; Metazoa; Arthropoda; Insecta; Hemiptera; Cimicidae. The record is from RefSeq and is a predicted model, not a curated record.
CCAACUAAGAACAAGACGAAUUCAGGACGUCAGAUGCUAUUUGGUAUACGAUUGGCUCCAAAACAAAUGAAGGAGGAUAAGGCGUUUCUUAUACUUCCACAAAAUAAUAGCAAUCGAACUCAUUUGGGAAGUACACCUCAAACAAUGAAAUGCCAUCAACUUUUGUGUCUUAGAAAAUCUUAAAAUACAAGGAGAAAAAUCCUCAUAUGAACGGAUAGUCAAGAAUUAAACCAUUAAAAUGUUAAAAAAUCACAACAAAAUUAGUCAGAAUGAAUACAUGCAAAAUCUCCAAAACCUGGUGAUAAGUUGGGUACCACGACAAAGGGGAAUUUUUGGUAACGGCCAGGAAACAAUAGCGAGAGGAGAAUCUGCAAAACCAUAUAUAGAACAUCCUAAAAAAAAUAACAAGGACAAACUGAGCAUUCUCCAUCACAGAUUCGAUCUAAAAAAACACAACAAAAGAAAUGGAUAAAUUCUUCAGGUGUAAGUUUAUGCUAACACAACCUUCAACCAGACUGGCAAAAUCACUGCUACAGUAGGGAAGAGCUAAACUCAGAAUAUUGGUUAUUUGAUAGAAGGAAGAAACAGCUAACCAACUUCGAAUGCUAAUCAACCGUCCAAUGGAGACCUAACCUGAUGUACAAAAAAAAAACCAAGGAAAAGAAUUGUAGCAACGACAGUUAAUGACCUAGUAUUCCUUGGGAGAACGAUCUAGACAAUUGCGCUGAACUAGGAAAGUACGAUAAGCCAGGCGGCUGCAAUGCCUCCUAUAUCAUCAUCGUCGUUUACCAAUGCAGUAGGAAUAAUCGAAAACAGUUUCUCCUUGCUUCUAUCGAUGACCAACCAGUGAUGAUGGCUAAAAGUCGGAACGCUUCCAAUAGCGAGGAUAGACUGCCAAAAAUAAUGUUCUUUUUCAGAAACUCCUUUUGAAUACAUUUUUAUACAGUCAUACAUUUUGAAAUGUAUUUGUCUCAAUUUUCUCAGUUAGUUGACUUUGACCAAUUAGUUUUUCUUUUACAACUGUACAGUUAUUCUGUUAGUUGUAU